RNAcentral lists this ribosomal RNA (497 nucleotides) under uncultured bacterium. RNAcentral's name for it is "partial 16S ribosomal RNA". It matches the Rfam family "Bacterial small subunit ribosomal RNA", at positions 28 to 507 of the family's 1533-position model. The record is from RNAcentral.
GACGAACGCUGGCGGCGUGCCUAAUGCAUGCAAGUAGAACGCUGAAGAGAGGAGCUUGCUCUUCUUGGAUGAGUUGCGAACGGGUGAGUAACGCGUAGGUAACCUGCCUUGUAGCGGGGGAUAACUAUUGGAAACGAUAGCUAAUACCGCAUAACAAUGGAUGACACAUGUCAUUUAUUUGAAAGGGGCAAUUGCUCCACUACAAGAUGGACCUGCGUUGUAUUAGCUAGUAGGUGAGGUAAUGGCUCACCUAGGCGACGAUACAUAGCCGACCUGAGAGGGUGGUCGGCCACCCUGGGACUGGGACACGGCCCAGACUCCUGCGGGAGGCAGCAGUAGGGAACCUUCGGCAAUGGGGGCAACCCUUACCGAGCAACGCCGCGUGAGUGACGACGGUUUUCGGAUCGUAAAGCUCUGUUGUAAGUCAAGAACGGGUGUGAGCGUGGAAAGUUCACACUGUGACGGUAGCUUACCAGAAAGGGACGGCUAACUACGUG